AGUUUAAUGAGUGAGGUAGUGAAGGUAUAGCUGUUAUUGUUGCCGUUAGUGAUAAGCACGCCUGGCACUUCCAUCAUCAUCAUCAUUCCCUCCAACCUCUCUCUCUCUCUCUCUCUCUCUCUCUCUACAAUUCUUCUUCUUCUUUCUCAGCCCCACUUUCCUUUCUUUUCUUUUCCUUUUUCUCUGUCUCACUUUUCUUUCUUUUCUUUUCCAUCCCACAAACAAAAAAUCUAAAAAUUUCGUAUUUUGAUUCUCUCUUUUAAUCUCAAUCGUUGAGAUUGGAUCUGGGUUCUUCUUCAUUUCAAUUCUCAUCUUCAUUUCCAGGUUCUUUCUGUUUCUAUCUUCAAGCCAGAGUUGUGAAAACCAAGUAGUUAAAGCUCCAAAAACAGUAUGUCUGUUUCCAUGAGAGAUUUGGAUGAAAUUUUCCAGGGAGCUGGACAAAAGGCUGGACUUGAAAUUUGGCGCAUUGAAAACUUUCGUCCUAUUCCUGUGCCAAAGUCUUCUCAUGGCAAAUUUUUCAUGGGAGACUCCUAUGUGAUCUUGAAGACGACUGCUUUAAAAAGCGGUGCCUUGCGUCAUGAUAUCCAUUACUGGCUUGGUAAAGAUACAUCUCAGGAUGAAGCUGGUACGGCAGCCAUCAAGACAGUUGAACUUGAUGCAGCUCUUGGAGGACGUGCUGUUCAGUAUCGUGAAAUACAGGGCCAUGAAACCGAAAAGUUUCUAUCCUAUUUUAAACCGUGUAUUAUACCUCAAGAAGGUGGAGUUUCUUCAGGAUUCAAGCAUGCUGAGGCUGAAGAACACAAGACACGGUUAUAUGUUUGCAAAGGAAAACAUGUUGUUCAUGUAAAGGAGGUUCCCUUUGCUCGAUCUUCCCUUAAUCAUGAUGACAUUUUUAUUCUGGAUACCAAGUCUAAAAUUUUUCAAUUUAAUGGUUCCAACUCAUCUAUUCAAGAGAGGGCUAAAGCAUUAGAGGUUGUCCAGUACAUUAAAGAUACUUAUCAUGAUGGCAAAUGUGAAGUAGCUGCUGUUGAGGAUGGAAAGUUGAUGGCUGAUGCUGAAGCUGGUGAAUUUUGGGGUUUCUUUGGUGGCUUUGCUCCACUUCCUAGGAAAACAGCUAGCGAUGAGGAUAAGGCUGUUGAUUCUCAUCCUACUAAGCUACUUCGCAUUGAGAAGGGGAAAGCAGGACCUGUCGAUGCUGAUUCUUUGACAAGGGACUUGCUAGACACAAAUAUAUGCUAUGUACUAGAUUGUGGUAUAGAAGUGUAUGUAUGGAUGGGGAGAAAUACCUCUCUUGAUGAUAGAAAGAGUGCAAGCGAAGCUGCAGAAGAGUUAGUCCGUGGCCCUGAUAGACCUCAAGCACACAUUAUUCGUGUAAUUGAGGGUUUCGAGACAGUGAUGUUCCGCUCCAAGUUUGAUUCAUGGCCUGAGACAACUAAUAUAGCUGUGUCAGAGGAUGGUAGAGGCAAAGUUGCAGCAUUGCUAAAACGCCAAGGGGUUAACGUGAAGGGUCUGUUGAAAGCUGAUCCUGUUAAAGAAGAACCUCAACCAUAUAUUGACUGCACUGGAAAUCUACAGGUCUGGCAUGUGAAUGGCCAGGAAAAGACUCUCCUUCCAGCUUCUGAUCAGUCGAAAUUUUACAGUGGAGAUUGCUAUAUCUUUCAGUAUUCAUAUCCUGGAGAAGAUAAAGAGGAAUACCUUAUAGGAACAUGGUUUGGAAAGCUGAGUGUUGAGGAUGAAAGGGCUUCAGCAAUGUCACUGGCAAGCAAGAUGGUUGAGUCCUUGAAGUUUCUGCCCACCCAGGCUCGCAUCUAUGAGGGAAAAGAACCAAUUCAGUUUUAUUCAAUCUUCCAGAGCUUUAUUGUUUUCAAGGGCGGUCUUAGCGAUGGAUACAAAAAUUACAUUGCAGAGAAAGAAAUUCCUGAUGAGACAUAUAAAGAGGAUGGAGUUGCAUUAUUUCGAGUCCAGGGCACUGGACCUGAUAAUAUGCAAGCAAUACAAGUUGAAGCAGCUGCAUCAUCUUUGAAUUCUUCGUACUGUUACAUUUUACAUAGUGACUCCACCGUCUUUACAUGGUCUGGAAACCUCACAUCUGCAAAUGACCAGGAGCUGGUUGAGAGGCAGCUCGAUCUGAUAAAGCCAAAUAUACAAUCCAAAACACAAAAGGAGGGUGCUGAAUCUGAACAGUUUUGGGGUUUGUUAGGAGGAAAAUCCGAAUACCCCAGCCAAAAGAUUGUCAAGGAUGCUGAAAGCGAUCCUCACCUAUUUUCUUGCCAUUUCUCAAAAGGAAAUUUGAAGGUGACAGAGAUUUACAACUUCACCCAGGACGAUUUGAUGACUGAAGAUAUAUUCAUCCUGGACUGUCAGUCAGAGAUCUUUGUCUGGGUUGGCCAACAGGUCGAUUCCAAAAAUAGAGUGCAUGCUUUAACCAUUGGGGAGAAAUUUCUUGAGCAUGAUUUUCUUCUAGAAAAGCUAUCCCAUGAAGCUCCAGUAUAUAUUGUCAUGGAAGGAAGUGAGCCACCUUUCUUCACACGCUUCUUCACAUGGGACUCUGGAAAAUUUUCUAUGAUCGGGAACUCAUUUCAAAGGAAACUUACCUUAGUGAAAAACGGGGCUACUCCAACUGUUGAUAAACCCAAACGUAGAACACCUGUAUCUUAUGGAGGAAGAUCCAGUGUUCCAGACAAAAAUCAGCGUUCUAGAAGCAUGUCUUUCAGCCCUGACCGAGUUCGUGUAAGGGGUAGGUCUCCAGCUUUCAAUGCACUAGCGGCUACUUUUGAGAACCCUAAUAAUGCCAGAAACCUUUCAACUCCACCCCCGGUCGUCAGAAAACUCUACCCACGAUCUGUGACCCCAGAUUCAGCAAAACUGGCAUCCAAGUCUGCAGCUAUAGCAGCACUAACUGCCACUUUUGAACAGCCACCACCAGCACGAGAAGUUAUUAUACCUCGAUCUGUCAAGGUGAGCCCGGAGGCCAUCAAGCCAAAGCCAAAACCAGAGACAAAUGAUAAUAAGGAGAAUUCUAUGAUCAGCAGAAUAGGAUCCCUUACUAUACAGGAAGAUGUGAAAGAGGGUGAAGCUGAAGAUGAUGAAGGUCUCCCAAUAUACCCAUAUGAACGCCUUAAAAUUUCGUCAACAGAUCCUGCUGCGGAGAUUGAUGUGACCAAGCGAGAGACGUAUCUGUCGUCAGAGGAAUUCAGGGAGAAAUUCGGGAUGGGAAAGGAUGCGUUUUACAAAUUGCCCAAAUGGAAACAAAACAAGCUCAAAAUGGCCCUUCAAUUAUUCUGAGUCCUUUAUUCCCAUCCUUUUCAGCAACUCCCUGCAGUUUAAAUUGCAGGUGGAAGAAAACUUGCUCGCAAAUCUUGGGGGAACUCAUUCUCAGGAGUACAAGGGACAGCAUCAGUGCAUUUUUAGCUGCUUCUGCUCCCAAGAAGCUUGUUUUCUUGAUAAAUGGACAGAAACAGAGAUUUUUUUCUCCUACCUCACCCCCCCCCCCUUUUUUUCUUUUCUGGUGGUUUGAAUGUCUAGCUUUGUAUUUUUGUUGAGUUAGCUGCUUGGUAUUCUUUUUGGUCACAGGUUUGUUGUGAGCUUGCAUUUUUGUUCAUCUUCAUUUUCAUUUUUUUUGAAAAAAAUUCAAAUUGAUUUUCAGUAGAGCGAUAGGGUCUUGCGAAUGCAGAGUCUACUUAGGUUGUAUUGAUAACUGAGGAUGGAAGUAUGUACAGCAGAGUAUAAGAACCAGUUCACUUUAUUUAUUUGUUUUUGACAAUAAAGGUGUGAUUUUUUUUUCUUGUU
Molecule: RNA transcript, 3789 nt
Organism: Quercus lobata
Lineage: Eukaryota; Viridiplantae; Streptophyta; Magnoliopsida; Fagales; Fagaceae
Gene name: villin-4
Exons: 24
Source: RefSeq, a predicted model, not a curated record